ACGAACGCUGGCGGCGCGCCUAACACAUGCAAGUCGAACGAGCGAGAGAGAGCUUGCUUUCUUGAGCGAGUGGCGAACGGGUGAGUAACGCGUGAGGAACCUGCCUCAAAGAGGGGGACAACAGUUGGAAACGACUGCUAAUACCGCAUAAGCCCACGACCCGGCAUCGGGUUGAGGGAAAAGGAGCAACCCGCUUUGAGAUGGCCUCGCGUCCGAUUAGCUAGUUGGUGAGGUAAUGGCCCACCAAGGCGACGAUCGGUAGCCGGACUGAGAGGUUGAACGGCCACAUUGGGACUGAGACACGGCCCAGACUCCUACGGGAGGCAGCAGUGGGGAAUAUUGCACAAUGGGGGAAACCCUGAUGCAGCGACGCCGCGUGGAGGAAGAAGGUCUUCGGAUUGUAAACUCCUGUUGUUGAGGAAGAUAAUGACGGUACUCAACAAGGAAGUGACGGCUAACUACGUGCCAGCCGCCGCGGUAA
Molecule: ribosomal RNA, 481 nt
Filed under: uncultured bacterium
Lineage: Bacteria
Description: partial 16S ribosomal RNA
Rfam family: Bacterial small subunit ribosomal RNA
Source: RNAcentral